GGACCCGCACAAGUAGUGGAGCAUGUGGUUUAAUUCGAAGAUACGCGCAGAACCUUACCAACACUUGACAUGUUCGUCGCGACUCUAAGAGAUUAGAGUUUUCGGUUCGGCCGGACGAAACACAGGUGCUGCAUGGCUGUCGUCAGCUCGUGUCGUGAGAUGUUGGGUUAAGUCCCGCAACGAGCGCAACCCUCACUUUUAGUUGCCAUCAUUAAGUUGGGCACUCUGAAAGAACUGCCAGUGAUAAGCUGGAGGAAGGUGGGGAUGACGUCAAGUCCUCAUGGCCCUUACGUGUUGGGCUACACACGUGCUACAAUGGCACUUACAAUGGGAAGCAAAGAGGCGACUCCUAGCUAAUCCCAAAAAUGUGUCUCAGUUCGGAUUGUACUCUGUAACUCGAGUGCAUGAAGCUGGAAUUGCUAGUAAUCGC
Molecule: ribosomal RNA, 430 nt
Filed under: uncultured bacterium
Lineage: Bacteria
Description: bacterial SSU rRNA
Rfam family: Bacterial small subunit ribosomal RNA
Source: RNAcentral